AAGUCCCGUGAAGCCGCGCCGCCCGCCCGCCGCCGCGGGGCUAUAAAGGAGGGAAUGGCCCGGCAGCCGCAGUCGGAGCAUCCCUGGCUGCGGCGGAGCCGCUCCCGCCGCCGCUCCCGGGGGUAUUCCCGGUGGGAGCGGGGCGAUACCCGCACUCCCGGAGGCUCUGCAGAAGGAGGAUGAGGAGGAUGCCGCUCCGAGCACCGGGGGAGCCGCAGCCCCGGGAGGCUUCGGGCGCUGCCGGCGGAGGUGGAAUUGGAAUUGGAGGUUUCGGCAUUCCUGCAGGGACAGCUCCCAUCGGCCCAGGAGCUGCUGGAACCUCCUUGUGCCAGCGGUGGGGACACCAGGGCAGGAGUGGCACUCGUCCCCUCUGCCAGGGAAAGGCUCCCGAGGCAGGAUCUGUCCCUGGAUGGUUCCUCUGCGCUGGGAUCCCGAGCCCUGAGCCUCGGCUGGGGUUUGGAUGCUCCCUUCUGUCUGCAGCUGGAAUGGCAGGGCCGUGCCUCCUGCUCCUCCAAAUCCUGUGGAUUUACUGCUUGUGGCAUCGUCCUGCUGGGACUGGCUCGGCACAGGGAAUAUCCUGAGGGACGGAUGGGGAAAAGCAGCACCUGCAGCCUGAGGCUACAAUUCCCUCUUUUUCUGGGCUACUCUGAGCAUCCUGGCUCUGCAGGAGGAAGGAUUCCAUGCACUCCUGGAGGACAAAUCCUGCUGCUCUGAUGCCUCCCCAGCCGUUCCUGGCUCAAGCCCUGCCCUGCUCGAUGCUCCUGGAGGGUUUUUGGUGCCACUCUCCAGUUUGGGGCACCCAAAAGGGACAGAGCCCCAAAUCCACUCCCCUCUGAACACCAAAUUCCAGGUCUGUGCUGGAGCCUCGGGGUGAGGGACAGAGGGACAGCCAGGAGCAGCUCCCGAGGACAGCAUGGACACUGCAGCUGGAGCAGAGGGACAGAGGGACAGAAGGACAGCCAGCACAGCCAGGAGCAGCUCCUGAGGUGAGGAUGGACACUGCAACUGCAGCAGAGGGACAGAGGGACAGGAGGACAGCCAGGAGCAGCUCCUGAGGCCAGCACAGACACUGCAGCUGGAGCAGAGGGACAGAAGGACAGGAGGACAGCCAGGAGCAGCUCCUGAGGCCAGCACAGACACUGCAGCUGGAGCAGAGGGACAGAAGGACAGGAGGACAGCCAGGAGCAGCUCCUGAGGCAAGGAUGGACGCUGCAGCUGGAGCAGAGGGACAGAAGGACAGGAGGACAGCCAGGAGCAGCUCCUGAGGCCAGCAUGGACACUGCAGCUGCAGCUCAGGAGCAGCAGCUCCCUGGGCACCGUGGCCCAUCAGGGCUGGCAGAGGCUCUUCCCCGAGCUCCAGAAGCAAACCCAGCUCAGCUCCUGCCCAGCCUGGCUGGCUGCACAUCCCUCCAGGAGCUGAGCUCCUCCACGUGGAACUCGCAGGACUCGGGAGCAGUUUUCUGCUGGCCUUUGGGAAUUAUCCUUUGGGAUCCUGCCCGUGGAUGGAUGGAUGGAUGGAUGGAUGGUGAAGGCUCCUGGCUCAAGCAGGAGCUCAGUGCUUUUCUCUGACAAGGACCAAGCACUUGCCUGGUUCCCAGUGGAUAUUUUUGGUCUUUGUUUUUACUCCUCUGCUCUUUUUUUUUGCUGUUUUUUGGGGGUUUGGGUGCAGUGGAUCCCGUGGUGGGGACUGGAGCCUUUGGAAGAGCAGGAGCUGAGCUGCUGCUGGGGUUUCAGAGUGGCAGAGCCUCAUCCUGUGCUGGGUGGCCUCAGGACAGUCCUUGUGCCACAGCUGGAGCAUCCCAGUGGAUCCCAGUGCAGCUGGGACCGUGGAGCAGGAGCAGGGAUGGGGGGAAGCCAAACCCCAGCCCGGGGAAUGUCACAGUGAGGGGAAUGUCACCCUCAGAGACAAUUAAAUUGCAAUUAAUAAACCCCUUUGGCUCUGUGAGUGCUUUUCCAUUUGCCAUGUUUCCAGGGGGUUUUGGGGAUGCCUUGGACUGUCCAGGAAACCUUGAGAAACUCCUGUCCUAACAAAGCCAGCCCAGGACUUUAACACCUUCAUUUUCCAGGAAAGUUCUCCCCUGUCCUUUCCCUCUUCCCUUUCCAGCCUUUAACCACCACUGCCAUCCCUCCUGCUCCAAAAGCCACUGAAAUGCAAAUUAUUUCCCCUAAAAUCCUGUUGUUAAUUGUGCCUGGGUCCUGUUCCCUCCUCCCCUGUAAGCACCGGAAGGUGCCCUGUGGAAAUAGAACAUGAAAGGGAUAUUUAUGUAGUGGAAAUAUCCGUUUAUGAUAAUUAUUUUUUUAGGAUUUUGAACAUUAUUUAACAUAAAAAGGGGUCCUGUCAUAAGAAAAGCACAGUGGCCUCAUGAGCAUGGAUUCAGAAUCAUUAUUUGGAGCAGCCAGGGUGACUGGAAGUUUCUACCAGGAUCAUUUAGGCUGGAAAAGGUUUCCAGGACUGAGUCCAAGCUGUGGCUGAUCCCCACCUUGCCCAUUAAACCAGAGCACCGAGGUCCUGCUCCCCCUGUGCCAUCCUUUCCCAGCACAGAAUGCUGCAUGGAUGGGCACAGGGACAGGUCCAGGGAUGCGCUGUGAGGGACAUGGGAGGUGGGAUUUUUGGGGUUCCUGAGGAACAUUCCCCUCAAAGGCCUUUGGAUGCCCCAGCCCCGAGCAAACACAGCCAGGGGAGGGUGGGACCUUCCUGGGUGAGCAGCUGGAAGAGCAGCCUGGCCUUCCUGCCAGGAAACCCGGCCUGGGUGCAGGAGGGAUCCAGGGAUUUAUGGGUUUGCUUUCCCAUUGCAAACAUUAACCCUCGCUGGGCAGGAAUGCUGAUGUCCUGCAUGGAAUUCCCUGGCUGCUCCUGGGGCUGGGAGUGCUUUGGGAUGUUCCCAGUGCUCUGAGGAAGGGCUGGCAGCCCCAAUCCCCCAGGAAUGGGAAUUACCCCACAGCUGCCCCAAGCUAAGCUCAUUUUCCCUCUAAGCUCCUGUGCUUUGGUCGCUGUCAAGGAGAGGAAAUUCUGCUGCCAGAAUUCUGCUCCUUUCCACCAGAGAUUUCGUGGAGCCAGGAGCAGGAUGAGCCACCCCAGCUCCAGCUCUGGGAGCCCUGCUCCUGCUCCCUGCUGCUCCUGCUGAUGUUUUCUGGAUGCCUGGAAUGGCAAAACCUUCCCCGAGCGUGGCCUGACGUCCUCCCCCUCUCCAAAUUAAGUGCCAGCCCUGCUUCAGCCUAAUUAAAACCAGCAAUGAGGACUGGGCCAGGCUGUAAAAUUCUAGGACAGUUUUAUGUGGAGCAAUUAAAAGGAAGGUAAAAAAAAAUUGUUAAGAAAUUAAACACUAAUUACUUUUUUUUUUUUUGGCCAGCUGAGCUGUUUUGGCAGUGGGGCUGUGAGGGGGAUGCAAAACCUGGGAUGGUCGGGUCCCUGCUGCCAUAAAUCUGCUGCAUCAAAUGUUCCCCUGCUUCUGAGCCCUGUAACUCAUCUGCUGCCAAUUAACCUAAAUCACGUUUUUUCAAUUAAAAUUCGAGGCCUGAUGGCAGAGCCUGGGCUUCAGCGAGGUGGAAAUAUCUGUUUUAAAAGGUGUGAUCCCGUGUUAGUGUUUUCCAUGUAAAAUGGGAUGUAAAUGCCUGGGCAGCUCUGAGGAUCCUGGGGGCAUUUCCAGGGAAUCCCACCUGGGGAGUUUGGAGCAUGGCACCUCCCUGCCUGCAGGAAAACUCCCUUGGGGUGGAGUUUUUGCCCGGGGUGGACAUUUCCAGGCAGGGGCUGCCUGAGGGCUCCCAAGUGCAGAUCCCAAUCCCGGAGUUUGGGGUGGGAAUGGUGCCUUGUGUAACACCUGGAUAAUUGGCCUUGGAUGGGGAAGGAAGCUGCUGCUUCCUCUCUCUGUGUCUGGUCUUGCUCCCGAGCGUUUUCUGUGGUGCUUGGAAAAGGAAAACAGGCGCUGAAGUGUUGGGAAAGAGGGGAGGAAGGGCAGGGCUUGGAGCCAAUGGUUCCUUUUUGUACCUGCAGCCGCCCUGCCUUAAAAAUCCCCAUAAAGGGUGAUGAACCUUCCCAGGGUGGAAGGAGAGGAUGAGGAGCUGCUCCUGGCCCCGGGAGGAGGAAAUACUCAAAUUCCCUGUUUCCCUGCACUCCUCCUGGAGCUUGGUCCCUGCAGGGGAUGUUGGGAAUGGGUGGCCUAUAAAUCCUGGGGGUGCAGACACAGAAAUCCCCCUGGAUGAGUCCAUGGAAUGGAGUUAUCGCCUUCCUGGAUAGAAAUGGAGCUUCACCCCCCUGGUUCCAGGCUCUGCAGGAGCUUCAGGGAUGGGGAGGACACUCGUGGUCUUCCCACCUGUCCUCACACCAGGAUGUGCUUCCAAAACCUCUGGAGACCCCACAGUGUCAUCCUGUAAUUCCAAUUAUUCCCC
Long non-coding RNA from Passer domesticus (house sparrow), 4386 nucleotides. RefSeq lists it as uncharacterized. The transcript has 4 exons. NCBI's taxonomy places the organism in Eukaryota, Metazoa, Chordata, Aves, Passeriformes, Passeridae. The record is from RefSeq and is a predicted model, not a curated record.